Molecule: long non-coding RNA, 414 nt
Organism: Nycticebus coucang (slow loris)
Lineage: Eukaryota; Metazoa; Chordata; Mammalia; Primates; Lorisidae
Exons: 3
Source: RefSeq, a predicted model, not a curated record
CUGGAUUUGAAUGGCACUGAGGGGCGCUUGUUGUAUAAACAGGCCAUGCACUCCACAGAGGAAGCUCAGACGGCUAACCAAAUGUGAGAUACUCAGCCUCACUAAAAUGUACAGAAAGGCAGGUUAAAGGCUGAAACCAAUUGCCCAGUAUCAAUGAUGAUUAUCUCUGGAGACUGGACACCUGCAGGCUGGUGGGGGUUCAUCGCAUCUGAAGAUUCUCUGAGCUUGCAAAGUGGUGGGCACCGUCUAGGCAGCCGGGCCUGGGAAGAGCAGACACAGAAGGCCAACCGGCUCCUCUCCGAGGCGUGGGCCACCUGCACCAGAGCAGAAUUCCGCCCUCUUUCGCAUCUCCCGUGUGCAGUCUGCCUUCCAUCACAGGAUGACACAGCAAGAAGGCCCUCACCGAUGCCUCUG